CUCAGAACGAACGCUGCCGGCAAGCUUAACACAUGCAAGUCGAACGGACCGUAUACGCAGCUUGCUGCGUGUAUGGUUAGUGGCAGACGGGUGAGUAAUGCAUAGGAAUCUACCUAGUAGUAUGGGAUAGCCACUAGAAAUGGUGGGUAAUACUGUAUAAUCCCUGCGGGGGAAAGAUUUGUCGCUAUUAGAUGAGCGUAUGUCAGAUUAGCUAGUUGGUGGGGUAAUGGCCUACCAAGGCGGUGAUCUGUAGCUGGUCUGAGAGGAUGAUCAGCCACACUGGAACUGAGACACGGUCCAGACUCCUACGGGAGGCAGCAGUGGGGAAUAUUGGACAAUGGGCGCAAGCCUGAUCCAGCUAUGCCGCGUGAGUGAGGAAGG
Molecule: ribosomal RNA, 381 nt
Filed under: Anaplasma marginale
Lineage: Bacteria; Pseudomonadati; Pseudomonadota; Alphaproteobacteria; Rickettsiales; Anaplasmataceae
Description: bacterial SSU rRNA
Rfam family: Bacterial small subunit ribosomal RNA
Source: RNAcentral